Long non-coding RNA from Marmota flaviventris (yellow-bellied marmot), 740 nucleotides. RefSeq lists it as uncharacterized. The record is from RefSeq and is a predicted model, not a curated record. NCBI's taxonomy places the organism in Eukaryota, Metazoa, Chordata, Mammalia, Rodentia, Sciuridae.
CCUACAUGACACUUGUCCCCAAAAGUAUGUGGCGCAGCAAGACCUGACAGCAGCAGCGGCUGAGCUCAUCCUGACCAGAACCUGGCACACCCUGCUCAAGCCCCAGUGAUGGUGAUGGUUCAUGAACGUCCAUUGUCACAGCACCUCGGUAUUUCUAGCAAUUUUGGCACCCAACAUGGAGCUCCGUCCAUCACCUAAGGGUCAUGAGGACUCCCUCCUUAGAGGAGAUACAUCCUGCUGCCUUGUUGUGGCCUCGGAGUAGGGGAGGAAACUGUGAUCCCUGAGGCUGACAACAAACCCCAAAUUGAAAGUGGAUCGGCCAUGCAGAGAAAGGACCCAAGCAAGCACCACGUGACAGGUGGCCAGCCAAUCAGAGUGUUGGUUUCCAUAAAAUGUUUCAAGUGCAACGUCCAUUGCUUCUAAGGGUUUUUCUUUGGCAGGAAUAACUGACUUAAAGUGUUAACUAGUCUUGUUCAAUACCUUGGUUUUCAUGGGUAAAUUCGAUUUAACAUAAAUGGGAUUAAUCUUCAUGAAUAUGUUUUGUUAGAGGACACAUCUAUUAACUUGCAAAAUUAAAGUACUAAAACAUCAACUAAGUAUAAAUUCAGGUACUCUUGGCUUCUUGAAUUCCAUAAGGUAACAUAUAUUUGGUUCCAUUACAAAUUGGUAAAAUAAAAUAAAAAGUUCAAGAUUGCAUGUUUUGGAGUCUUAACCUAAAAGCGAGGUUGCCAAGUGUUAAA